CCCAGUACACAGAGGCUGCUUCUUUCCUUUGUGUGGAAAUGAUGCAGGUGAAUCAUCUCCUAAUUAACGAGAGUCUGCGAUGUAGGCUUGCAGCCUCCAGAUAGAGAUCUCAGAGGGAGCUCUGCUUUCAACUUUCUGCCUGGGCAGGCAUCUUAUUAGCGCAAGAGAAAGAAGAACAAUGCAGCCUCCUCUGACAGUGUGGCUUAUUAUUACCAUGUUUUCCCGUUUCCCUUUAUCACAGAGGGAAGAGAACAGGAGCGAGUAGAGGAGGAGUGAGAAAGGAAGUACAGGGGAGAGGAUGCCUCACUGAAGCUCCCCAUGGCUCACAGCCACCCAGGUGCACGGCAGGUGAGGGCAGUUGGCAGGAGAGGAAUUCUGGGAUGUCCAGAGCAAGAGGGGACAUGGAGCAGCCCUGACCUGAGCCCACAUUAUGCUUGCUGAAUGAGGUGAGGUAUACACGCUAAGGAG
Molecule: long non-coding RNA, 468 nt
Filed under: Sus scrofa (pig)
Lineage: Eukaryota; Metazoa; Chordata; Mammalia; Artiodactyla; Suidae
Description: lncRNA (ENSSSCG00015078997.1)
Source: RNAcentral